This 274-nucleotide ribosomal RNA is filed under the name uncultured bacterium. Its description in RNAcentral is "partial 16S ribosomal RNA". It matches the Rfam family "Bacterial small subunit ribosomal RNA", at positions 523 to 796 of the family's 1533-position model. The record is from RNAcentral.
AUACGGAGGGGGUUAGCGUUGUCCGGAAUUACUGGGCGUAAAGCGCACGUAGGCGGACUGGAAAGUUGGGGGUGAAAUCCCGGGGCUCAACCCCGGAACUGCCUCCAAAACUUCCAAUCUAGAGAUCGAGAGAGGUGAGUGGAAUUCCAAGUGUAGAGGUGAAAUUCGUAGAUAUUUGGAGGAACACCAGUGGCGAAGGCGGCUCACUGGCUCGAUACUGACGCUGAGGUGCGAAAGCGUGGGGAGCAAACAGGAUUAGAAACCCCAGUAGUCC